GGCCUUUGUGUUGCCCAUUUAUUCCUGUCCAGAAUGGAUGUGGUGUCAAAAAAGACAAACAGUAAUUCUUGCUCAAACUGGUUUAGGGAGCUGGUUAUGUACCUUCUUCCUCCCUGUUUUUGGACAAAAACCCCC
This 135-nucleotide small nucleolar RNA is filed under the name Cyanoderma ruficeps (rufous-capped babbler). RNAcentral describes it as "Small nucleolar RNA SNORA13 (ENSCRFG00000002961.1)". It matches the Rfam family "Small nucleolar RNA SNORA13". From Rfam's summary of the family: ACA13 is a member of the H/ACA class of snoRNA that guide the sites of modification of uridines to pseudouridines. The record is from Rfam by way of RNAcentral. Lineage: Eukaryota; Metazoa; Chordata; Aves; Passeriformes; Timaliidae.